UGGGGAAUAUUGCACAAUGGAGGGAACUCUGAUGCAGCGACGCCGCGUGAGUGAUGAAGGAAUUCGUUUCGUAAAACUCUGUUCUAUGGGAAGAAAAGGACUGUACCAUAGGAGAAAGCUCCGGCUAAAUACGUGCCAGCAGCCGCGGUAAUACGUAUGGAGCGAGCGUUGUCCGGAAUUAUUGGGCGUAAAGGGUGCGCAGGCGGCUUUACAAGUUGGAUGUGAAAUAUUGUGGCUCAACCACAAACGUGCAUCCAAAACUGCAAAGCUUGAGUUAAGGAGAGGUAAGUGGAAUUCCUGGUGUAGCGGUGGAAUGCGUAGAUAUCAGGAGGAAUACCGGCGGCGAAGGCGACUUACUGGACUUAAACUGACGCUCAGGCACGAAAGCGUGGGGAGCAAACAGG
Molecule: ribosomal RNA, 404 nt
Filed under: Fusobacteriota bacterium
Lineage: Bacteria; Fusobacteriati; Fusobacteriota
Description: Fusobacteria bacterium partial 16S ribosomal RNA
Rfam family: Bacterial small subunit ribosomal RNA
Source: RNAcentral